This 202-nucleotide unclassified non-coding RNA is filed under the name Hevea brasiliensis (rubber tree). Lineage: Eukaryota; Viridiplantae; Streptophyta; Magnoliopsida; Malpighiales; Euphorbiaceae. The record is from RNAcentral.
AACCACCGUGAAGAUCAUCGCGUGGAAGGGCGCGUGCGAGGUGCACGAGCGCUUCACCGGCGACGAACUGCGCACCUAUCGCGAAGCCGACCCAUCAGUGCAGAUCAUCGCGCAUCCGGAAUGCCCGCCAGAUGUGAUCGNUCGCCGAAGCAGACUUCACCGGUUCGACCGCGCACAUGAUCGACUGGGUGCGCAAGCAUCA